RNAcentral lists this unclassified non-coding RNA (348 nucleotides) under soil metagenome. RNAcentral's name for it is "partial contains 5.8S ribosomal RNA, internal transcribed spacer 2, and large subunit ribosomal RNA". The stretch from base 1 to 120 matches the Rfam family "5.8S ribosomal RNA", at positions 35 to 154 of the family's 154-position model. The record is from RNAcentral.
GAUGAAGAACGCAGCGAAAUGCGAUAAGUAUUGUGAAUUGCAGAAUCCAGUGAAUCAUCGAAUCUUUGAACGCACAUUGCGCCCGCCAGUAUUCUGGCGGGCAUGCCUGUCUGAGCGUCAUUUCAACCCUCAUGCCCCUAGGGCGUGGUGUUGGGGAUCGGCCAAAGCCCGCGAGGGACGGCCGGCCCCUAAAUCUAGUGGCGGACCCGUCGUGGCCUCCUCUGCGAAGUAGUGAUAUUCCGCAUCGGAGAGCGAUGAGCCCCUGCCGUUAAACCCCCAACUUUCCAAGGUUGACCUCAGAUCAGGUAGGAAUACCCGCUGAACUUAAGCAUAUCAAUAAGCGGAGGA